RNAcentral lists this unclassified non-coding RNA (174 nucleotides) under uncultured Hypocreales. Its description in RNAcentral is "sequence contains ITS2". The record is from RNAcentral. Lineage: Eukaryota; Fungi; Ascomycota; Sordariomycetes; Hypocreales.
CAACCCUCAGUUCCCCCCUUCCGGGGGGUGAGCUGGUGUUGGGGAUCGGCCGUCCCUCGCGGCGGCCGGCCCUUAAAUUCAGUGGCGGCACCACCGCGAACUCCUCUGCGUAGUAGCUAUACCUCGCAGGCGGAUAGCGGAGGCGACCAGCCGUGAAACCCCCAUCUUUUACAA